UUUUGGUUGUGCUGAUUAUUAUUUAAGCUCUGUUCAUGGUCGGAAUGGACGUCAAGUUAUACAGCGAUGUGAGGUUUUUUUAGAGCAGUGUUCAUCAUCAUGGCCUUGUCUGAACCUUCUCGUUCUUAACCCGAUCCAGUGCUCCUCCAGCUACCCUCUUCUAUAUAACUGCUUCACCAUCUUCAUCUUCAAUCUGUUUGAUUCCUCUAGCUCCAUGUGGAGGUGAGGAAUGUCAUCACCUUGAUCGAGUUAUUGUACAAAAUGGUUCUAGAUCCCCCGUUCCCGAUCACUGGUGCCGCUGAGAAGCUGCGCUUUCAAUUUGAGUAAUUGAAUAGUAAUGUGCCUUUGUGUGAAGACCUGGUGAUGGUGAGGAACUUGAUAAACAAAAUAGCAAACAUGGGUGGCCAAGAAAUAUUGUACCAAUUUUGGAACUCAUCACUUGAAGCCAUGAAUCAUCAUUCUCAUGAUUCUAGUACUGGAGUUGGAUAUCAAAUUGGAAGUGAUGGCUUAAGCUUCAUAGAGAAUCUGCUCAUGUUAUCAGACAACUCAUCUGCACCAACACGGUUUGAUUUGCUCUACAAUCAUUGGUGCCAACUUUGCCUGGCCAAGUAUGAAUCACAUGUUAAAUUGGGUGAAAGAGUACCACAGAUGGUAGGAACUGGUCAGAUCAAGUUGGGCAAACUCAUAAUGAGGCCAGAUGGUGACUUCACAUGGCAAAGCAAGAACUGCAGCAUAGAUUGUCUUCCAUAUAGAACCUCUUUGUGUAAUUUCACUCCUACAGAUCCAUCGAGUACUUCUCUGAGAGGGUCCUCACAGGUCUUUUGAUGAGUUUUUAUUCGGUGCCAUAUAAUCAUGGUCAUCAAUGUUCUUAGAUCUCUCACUUCGUAUGACCUUGUUGUCACUGAGAAGAGUUCCCCUUUGCAACUUCAAGUCAUUUGUGGUCAUUCUUGACCACACUACUGUCUGCCCCUAUUGUCCUGAUGAUCAAAAAUGUCAGAAGCAAUAUGAUGGGCAGACUUUUUACAUGUCAAUUUUAUAGCUUUUGUAGUAGUAAGCAAGAAUUUGUUUGAUUUUAUGCUUCAAUUUGCAAUAUAUUUUGUAUUUGCUUUGCAAUUUAGAGAGAGACUUUUCUUUUGAGUUCUGAGAUUCCUUCACUUCUGUAUUAUUAAAGUGUGUACUAUCAAUAAUUCUCUGUAUCUCAGUUGAACAUUCAAAAUAUAUUUACAGAAUGGGGUAACAA
Molecule: long non-coding RNA, 1240 nt
Organism: Rosa chinensis
Lineage: Eukaryota; Viridiplantae; Streptophyta; Magnoliopsida; Rosales; Rosaceae
Exons: 3
Source: RefSeq, a predicted model, not a curated record